RNAcentral lists this ribosomal RNA (257 nucleotides) under uncultured bacterium. Its description in RNAcentral is "partial 16S ribosomal RNA". It matches the Rfam family "Bacterial small subunit ribosomal RNA", at positions 524 to 776 of the family's 1533-position model. The record is from RNAcentral.
UACGAAGGGGGCUAGCGUUGCUCGGAAUCACUGGGCGUAAAGGGUGCGUAGGCGGGUCUUUUAAGUCAGGGGUGAAAGUCAUCGGAGGCUCAACUCCAGAACUGCCUUUGAUACUGAGGAUCUUGAGUUCGGGAGAGGUGAGUGGAACUGCGAGUGUAGAGGUGAAAUUCGUAGAUAUUCGCAAGAACACCAGUGGCGAAGGCGGCUCACUGGCCCGAUACUGACGCUGAGGCACGAAAGCGUGGGGAGCAAACAGG